This 203-nucleotide microRNA precursor is filed under the name Oryza sativa Indica Group (long-grained rice). RNAcentral's name for it is "MIR812 microRNA precursor family". It matches the Rfam family "MIR812 microRNA precursor family". The record is from Rfam by way of RNAcentral. Lineage: Eukaryota; Viridiplantae; Streptophyta; Magnoliopsida; Poales; Poaceae.
AAAAACUCAAUUCCUAGGUUUCUGUGUCUAACGUUUAACCGUCUAUCUUAUUUAAUUUUUUUUUAAAAAAAAUAAAAGAUAAGUCAUGCAUAAAGUAUUAUUCAUGUUUUAUCAUCUAACAAUAAUAAAAAUAGUAAUUAAAAAAAAUUUAUAUAAAAUAAACGGUUAAAUGUUGGACACGAAAACCCAAGAAUUGAGUCUUU